GUGGGGAAUAUUGGACAAUGGGCGCAAGCCUGAUCCAGCCAUGCCGCGUGAGUGAUGAAGGCCCUAGGGUUGUAAAGCUCUUUCACCGGAGAAGAUAAUGACGGUAUCCGGAGAAGAAGCCCCGGCUAACUUCGUGCCAGCAGCCGCGGUAAUACGAAGGGGGCUAGCGUUGUUCGGAAUUACUGGGCGUAAAGCGCACGUAGGCGGAUAUUUAAGUCAGGGGUGAAAUCCCGGAGCUCAACUCCGGAACUGCCUUUGAUACUGGGUAUCUCGAGUAUGGAAGAGGUGAGUGGAAUUCCGAGUGUAGAGGUGAAAUUCGUAGAUAUUCGGUGGAACACCAGUGGCGAAGGCGGCUAACUGGACUGAUACUGACGCUGAGGUGCGAAAGUGUGGGGAGCAAACAGGAUUAGAAACCCCGGUAGUCC
This 425-nucleotide ribosomal RNA is filed under the name uncultured bacterium. RNAcentral's name for it is "partial 16S ribosomal RNA". It matches the Rfam family "Bacterial small subunit ribosomal RNA", at positions 354 to 796 of the family's 1533-position model. The record is from RNAcentral.